GAGCUGUAAAUCAGCCGUGGGAUUCAUCAAUGGCACCAAACUUGCAAGCAGAGUUUAUUGCUCCAGCUGGACUUUCAUCCCAAGUUGCGCCAAGGCCACCUCAAGAAACAAGUUCUGGUCUUCUGUCACAACCUCCUGCGGAGGCUAAACCUAGUGGAAGAAAGGCACUCCCAGAGGAUCUUUUCGCUUCUCUUUAUCAAUCAGCACCUACGCCAGCUCCAGGCUGGCAAAGAAGUCCAUAUUUUGGCAUGGGUAUGCAGUAUCCUACAGGAGUGUUACAGACAGCAGCGACGGCUCCCCACCCAUCGAAUUCUUCCAACCCAUUUG
RNAcentral lists this unclassified non-coding RNA (327 nucleotides) under Hevea brasiliensis (rubber tree). The record is from RNAcentral. Lineage: Eukaryota; Viridiplantae; Streptophyta; Magnoliopsida; Malpighiales; Euphorbiaceae.